Molecule: ribosomal RNA, 497 nt
Filed under: uncultured bacterium
Lineage: Bacteria
Description: partial 16S ribosomal RNA
Rfam family: Bacterial small subunit ribosomal RNA
Source: RNAcentral
GAUGAACGCUGGCGGCGUGCCUAAUACAUGCAAGUCGAGCGAACAGACGAGGAGCUUACUCCUCUGACGUUAGCGGCGGACGGGUGAGUAACACGUGGAUAACCUACCUAUAAGACUGGGAUAACUUCGGGAAACCGGAGCUACUACCGGAUAACAUGUUGAACCGCAUGGUUCAACAGUGCAAGACGGUCUUGCUGUCACUUAUAGAUGGAUCCGCGUCGCAUUAGCUAGUUGGUAAGGUAACGGCUUACCAAGGCAACGAUGCGUAGCCGACCUGAGAGGGUGAUCGGCCACACUGGAACUGAGACACGGUCCAGACUCCUACGGGAGGCAGCAGUAGGGAAUCUUCCGCAAUGGGCGAAAGCCUGACAGAGCAACGCCGCGUGAGUGAAGAAGGUCUUCGGAUCGUAAAACUCUGUUAUUAGGGAAGAACAAAUGUGUAAGUAACUAUGCACGUCUUGACGGUACCUAAUCAGAAAGCCACGGCUAACUACGUG